GAUGAAGAACGCAGCGAAAUGCGAUAAGUAAUGUGAAUUGCAGAAUUCAGUGAAUCAUCGUAUCUUUGAACGCACCUUGCACCCUUUGGUAUUCCGAAGGGUAUGCUCGUUUGAGUGUCAUUGUACUCUCACACUUCUAAUUCCUUUCGGGAUUGGGAGCGGUGGACUUGGGUGUUGCUGCUUUAGUUGUGGCUCACCUCAAAUAAGUUAGUGCAACUCUUGGUUGGACAUAGUACGGCGUGAUAAGUGUCUUCGCCGGCGCCUCUGUAAGGAGGGUGGCCGAUCGGGAGCUCUGUGCUUCAAACCGUCUUCGGACAAUCUUUGACAACUUGACCUCAAAUCGGGUAGGACUACCCGCUGAACUUAAGCAUAUCAAUAAGCGGAGGA
This 387-nucleotide unclassified non-coding RNA is filed under the name soil metagenome. RNAcentral's name for it is "partial contains 5.8S ribosomal RNA, internal transcribed spacer 2, and large subunit ribosomal RNA". The stretch from base 1 to 120 matches the Rfam family "5.8S ribosomal RNA", at positions 35 to 154 of the family's 154-position model. The record is from RNAcentral.